Molecule: non-coding RNA, 45 nt
Filed under: Trypanosoma brucei brucei
Lineage: Eukaryota; Euglenozoa; Kinetoplastea; Trypanosomatida; Trypanosomatidae
Source: RNAcentral
AACACCACAAUUAGAUGUAGUAAAUAGCAGUGUGAAUUCUUAUAU